Molecule: ribosomal RNA, 1653 nt
Filed under: Klebsiella pneumoniae
Lineage: Bacteria; Pseudomonadati; Pseudomonadota; Gammaproteobacteria; Enterobacterales; Enterobacteriaceae
Description: partial 23S ribosomal RNA
Rfam family: Bacterial large subunit ribosomal RNA
Source: RNAcentral
GAAUGCUGACAUAAGUAACGAUAAAGCGGGUGAAAAGCCCGCUCGCCGGAAGACCAAGGGUUCCUGUCCAACGUUAAUCGGGGCAGGGUGAGUCGACCCCUAAGGCGAGGCCGAAAGGCGUAGUCGAUGGGAAACAGGUUAAUAUUCCUGUACUUGGUGUUACUGCGAAGGGGGGACGGAGAAGGCUAUGUUAGCCGGGCGACGGUUGUCCCGGUUUAAGCAUGUAGGCUGGUUGUCCAGGCAAAUCCGGAUAAUCAAGGCUGAGGUGUGAUGACGAGGCACUACGGUGCUGAAGUAACAAAUGCCCUGCUUCCAGGAAAAGCCUCUAAGCAUCAGGUAACAUCAAAUCGUACCCCAAACCGACACAGGUGGUCAGGUAGAGAAUACCAAGGCGCUUGAGAGAACUCGGGUGAAGGAACUAGGCAAAAUGGUGCCGUAACUUCGGGAGAAGGCACGCUGGUGUGUAGGUGAAGUCCCUGCGGAUGGAGCUGAGACCAGUCGAAGAUACCAGCUGGCUGCAACUGUUUAUUAAAAACACAGCACUGUGCAAACACGAAAGUGGACGUAUACGGUGUGACGCCUGCCCGGUGCCGGAAGGUUAAUUGAUGGGGUUAUCCGUAAGGAGAAGCUCUUGAUCGAAGCCCCGGUAAACGGCGGCCGUAACUAUAACGGUCCUAAGGUAGCGAAAUUCCUUGUCGGGUAAGUUCCGACCUGCACGAAUGGCGUAAUGAUGGCCAGGCUGUCUCCACCCGAGACUCAGUGAAAUUGAACUCGCUGUGAAGAUGCAGUGUACCCGCGGCAAGACGGAAAGACCCCGUGAACCUUUACUAUAGCUUGACACUGAACAUUGAGCCUUGAUGUGUAGGAUAGGUGGGAGGCUUUGAAGCGUGGACGCCAGUCUGCGUGGAGCCAACCUUGAAAUACCACCCUUUAAUGUUUGAUGUUCUAACGUUGGCCCCUUACCGGGGUUGCGGACAGUGUCUGGUGGGUAGUUUGACUGGGGCGGUCUCCUCCCAAAGCGUAACGGAGGAGCACGAAGGUUAGCUAAUCCUGGUCGGACAUCAGGAGGUUAGUGCAAUGGCAUAAGCUAGCUUGACUGCGAGCGUGACGGCGCGAGCAGGUGCGAAAGCAGGUCAUAGUGAUCCGGUGGUUCUGAAUGGAAGGGCCAUCGCUCAACGGAUAAAAGGUACUCCGGGGAUAACAGGCUGAUACCGCCCAAGAGUUCAUAUCGACGGCGGUGUUUGGCACCUCGAUGUCGGCUCAUCACAUCCUGGGGCUGAAGUAGGUCCCAAGGGUAUGGCUGUUCGCCAUUUAAAGUGGUACGCGAGCUGGGUUUAGAACGUCGUGAGACAGUUCGGUCCCUAUCUGCCGUGGGCGCUGGAGAAUUGAGGGGGGCUGCUCCUAGUACGAGAGGACCGGAGUGGACGCAUCACUGGUGUUCGGGUUGUCAUGCCAAUGGCACUGCCCGGUAGCUAAAUGCGGAAGAGAUAAGUGCUGAAAGCAUCUAAGCACGAAACUUGCCCCGAGAUGAGUUCUCCCUGAGACUUUAAGUCUCCUGAAGGAACGUUAAAGACGAUGACGUUGAUAGGCCGGGUGUGUAAGCGCAGCGAUGCGUUGAGCUAACCGGUACUAAUGAACCGUGAGGCUUAACCU